Molecule: long non-coding RNA, 872 nt
Organism: Camelina sativa (false flax)
Lineage: Eukaryota; Viridiplantae; Streptophyta; Magnoliopsida; Brassicales; Brassicaceae
Source: RefSeq, a predicted model, not a curated record
UAAAUAAGUUUUAAGUGCCCCUAUACUUUCCCUUCUCUAUACAAUGAACCAAAAAAAAAAAAAUAUCCCCAAACUGACUCCGCCACAGACUCCACCGUGAAGCUCGUCGCCGGCCUCAUUUCGCAUCCAUUCCGUCAACUCCAAGCCUGAGACUGAAGACGCCAACGGAGAAAACACCAAUCGGGGGAAAGAUCGAGACUGAGAUUGAGAUGGGGACCGAAUACGUGACCGCGACUGGGAGUGAUAGGGGUGAGAUCGAGAUUGCGAAAGGAAUAUAGACAGAGAGCGAGAGAGAGACCAUGAGCGUGACUGUUGAGGUUCGGAUUGUGUGAAACAAUCAAGAGUUUUAGGUUGUUCUGUUCUUCUGGUUAUUAAUCGAGCUCCAAGUUCGUAGCUUUGGAUGUUAGUCUGAAUUGAAAGUUGGAUGUUAGUCUGAACUGAAGAUUGGUUCUACUACGAUUGAAGUAAGGACAAAAGAGGGAGGUGUUCUUGCAAUCAAGAAGCGUAAGGAGAUAAUAAGAAGAAAGGAGAUAAGAGAGCCAGUCAGCCAGAAUUGCUAGGCCACAAGUGUCUGACUAUUUGGAGUUUCCAACAUGGAUCGGUUGGUGAUACUCAGAAUCAUUUCCUCAAAAACAGAAGCUUCCAGCUUUUGGAGUAGUGGGUUCCAAGCUCUGUGAGAAAGUUUGAAUCAUGCCAAGGACCUCAGAUCAGGAGAACAUUAACAUGAAUGAAGAGUCUGGUAUCCAUCAUUAUAUAGAAGGAUGAUAGUUUAUAAGUAUUUUUUCGAGACUGGGUGAAUAAUGUUUGUUUUAUGAAAUGAUGUGUAUCUUGUGGAUGUUUAUUAUAUAUAAAUUGGAUAUUUUGCAAAUUAA